GUGACACAGACACGUCACUACUUACACACCUGUGUUAACAUGAGUUAUUGUGGAGCUGUUCUCUCUGCUGACUUAAAGGUCAUGGAACAUUUCAUCCUGUAACUGGUGCCAAAUGUCAAUGACAAACCAGUACCAGGCUGCAGGUAGCCUAGUGGUUAGAGACAGGUAGUCUAGUGGUUAGAGACAGGUAGCCUAGUGGUUAGAGACAGGUAGUCUAGUGGUUAGAGACGGGUAGCCUAGUGGUUAGAGACAGGUAGCCUAGUGGUUAGAGACGGGUAGCCUAGUGGUUAGAGACGGGUAGCCUAGUGGUUAGAGACGGGUAGCCUAGUGGUUAGAGACGGGUAGCCUAGUGGUUAGAGACGGGUAGCCUAGUGGUUAGAGACGGGUAGCCUAGUGGUUAGAGGCGGGUAGCCUAGUGGUUAGAGACGGGUAGCCUAGUGGUUAGAGACGGGUAGCCUAGUGGUUAGAGGCGGGUAGCCUAGUGGUUAGAGGCGG
Oncorhynchus keta (chum salmon) is the source of this 495-nucleotide long non-coding RNA. RefSeq lists it as uncharacterized. The record is from RefSeq and is a predicted model, not a curated record. The transcript is spliced from 3 exons. NCBI's taxonomy places the organism in Eukaryota, Metazoa, Chordata, Actinopteri, Salmoniformes, Salmonidae.